GGCUGAGCUUGUGGCGCGACAUAAGGAAUCUUAGAGGAGUUUGCCCCAGACUUUAAACUUUACAAGAUAUAUGUUGAUGACAUGUAUCGUAUGGAGGGACGAUAAUUGCAGUCCUGAAAUUACGCAUAAGCUAACGAAUGAUACUUUAGGGCUCUCUACUAGAAUAGAGCAAUUUAGUACUGAUGGAUUUCACUUUCUUGAUGUCAAUGUGUCUAUAGAAAGGGGUGAAUAUGUUACAAAUAUAUAUAAAAAAACCUACCUAUUCCCCGGUUAUCAUUCUGGCCUGGUCGCGUGACCCAACUGAUAUAAAUCCGCAGCAUUCAGAGCCCUGUCCU
RNAcentral lists this long non-coding RNA (335 nucleotides) under Androctonus crassicauda. Lineage: Eukaryota; Metazoa; Arthropoda; Arachnida; Scorpiones; Buthidae. The record is from RNAcentral.